UCGAAGUGCGGGGCAGGGGGCGAGGUAAGAGGUGGGGGGUGAGCGUUGUCCGGAUUUAUUGGGCGGGAAGAGGGUGUAGGCGGCCAGGUAGGUCUGCUGUGAAAACUGGAGGCUUAACCUCGGGAUGUCGGCGGAAACCAUCUGGCUAGAGUGCGGAAGAGGAGAGUGGAAUUCCUGGUGUAGCGGUGAAAUGCGCAGAUAUCAGGAAGAACACCCGUGGCGAAGGCGGCUCUCUGGGACGGUACUGACGCUGAUGCGCGAAAGCCAGGGGAGCGAACGGGAUUAGAUACCCUUGUAGUC
RNAcentral lists this ribosomal RNA (300 nucleotides) under uncultured Lactobacillus sp. RNAcentral describes it as "bacterial SSU rRNA". The stretch from base 52 to 300 matches the Rfam family "Bacterial small subunit ribosomal RNA", at positions 547 to 795 of the family's 1533-position model. The record is from RNAcentral. Lineage: Bacteria; Bacillati; Bacillota; Bacilli; Lactobacillales; Lactobacillaceae.